Molecule: long non-coding RNA, 282 nt
Filed under: Gossypium barbadense (sea-island cotton)
Lineage: Eukaryota; Viridiplantae; Streptophyta; Magnoliopsida; Malvales; Malvaceae
Description: long non-coding RNA (GBAR_LNC020602)
Source: RNAcentral
UUAAAUAAAGAAGGUUAUUGAGAACGUAAUUCUGGGACAUGGAUAUAUAAAGAAGGGUGAAAAGGGAAAUGGAGGGAAAAGAAAGGGAUAAAUAGUGAAAAAGAGGACUUGGUUGUCGGGUGAUAACAUGCGAUGUCAUGAGUGAGCAGAUGAAAGAGAAAUAGAGAACUCAUACAAAACGUGGCGGCACGUGCAUCGGCUUCGACUUCCCAUACAUUGUUCACUCGCUUCUUCUUUUCCUUUUGGUAAUAAUAAUAUAUAAAUGAUUUUACCUUCCCCAUG